RNAcentral lists this ribosomal RNA (576 nucleotides) under Triticum aestivum (bread wheat). Its description in RNAcentral is "partial small subunit ribosomal RNA". The record is from RNAcentral. Lineage: Eukaryota; Viridiplantae; Streptophyta; Magnoliopsida; Poales; Poaceae.
AUGAAGGAUGGUGAAGGUGUCGCUGAAAUGUACUCUAGGCUUGCUCUCAUUACAGAUGAGAUUGCCGGCUUAGGAAGUGAAGAGUUCAUCAUCAAGAAGAUCCUAAGAGCCUUGGAUGGAAAAUAUGAUACCGUGUGCACAUUGAUCCAAAUGAUGCCCAACUACAAAGAUCUCAAGCCAAUGGAGGUCAUUGGAAGAAUUGUUGCUCAUGAGAUGUCACUCAAGGAUAAGGAAGAGCUUCACAACAAGUCAAGCGGUGCUUACAAAGCCUCAUAUGAUGCUCCCACAUCAUCAAGUGAGAAACAAACCUUCAAUGAAGAAUUGAGCCUAAUGGUGAACAACUUCAUCAAGUUCUACAAGAGUAGAAGCAAGGAAAGAAGUUCCAUGUCAAGGUCCUACAAUGACAAAAGAUCUUCGAGUCGUGAACGUAAUUGCUACAAUUGUGGAAGACCCGGACACUACUCCAAUGAGUGUACGACUCCCAACAAAAGAAGAGAAGAUUCUCCCAAAAUAAGAAGUAGAAGAGAUGAAUCACCACCAAGAGAGAGAAAGAGUAGAGAUGAUCGUUAUGAAUGA